CCCUUAGAUGUUCUGGGCCGCACGCGUGCUACACCGAGUGGAUCAGCGGGUCAGGUUGCGCGAAAGUGUUUCCUAAUCUUUAAAUCCGCUCGUGAUGGGGAUUGACGGUUGCAAUUUUCUGUCAUGAACGAGGAAUACCUUGUAAGCGCGGGUCAUCAUCCCGCGCUGAAUACGUCCCUGCCCUUUGUACACACCGCCCGUCGCUCCUACCGAUUGAGUGGUCCGGUGAGGCUUUGGGAUCUGAGCGGAAAGAGCGUUUCGCUGUUUCUGCUCGGAAAACUCAGUCGAACCUUAUCAUUUAGAGGAAGGAGAAGUCGUAACA
Molecule: ribosomal RNA, 322 nt
Filed under: uncultured eukaryote
Lineage: Eukaryota
Description: partial 18S ribosomal RNA
Rfam family: Eukaryotic small subunit ribosomal RNA
Source: RNAcentral